Cottoperca gobio is the source of this 728-nucleotide long non-coding RNA. RefSeq lists it as uncharacterized. The transcript is spliced from 3 exons. The record is from RefSeq and is a predicted model, not a curated record. NCBI's taxonomy places the organism in Eukaryota, Metazoa, Chordata, Actinopteri, Perciformes, Bovichtidae.
GGUCAAUGUACUGCAUCAGGUGUGGACAGCAGGAAACCUACCUGUGGAGGAUAGUUGCUCUCAGAAGACCACCUGGAAGACUGAUCAUUAGGUUUGUCCACCAAGAUAUUCCUAAAAAACACCCGCAAAGAAAAGGUUACUAUUCACCACAAACACUUCAAUUGAUCAUCAGCAACACCACCAUCGGGUGGCAGCGUAUCAACACUAAACGCCCCUACCGCCGCUAACAAAGCUAACGCUCGCGGGCUCGGAUGGCAGACGAGCUAGGCCAGUCGGGCCGCCUGGAAGAAACAUUGGUGUGUUGAGGCGAUGGAAGCUCACUUGUGACCACAACACCUAAUGCAUACGCAGGGCCAACUAACGUGUGCAUUACUCACUCGGGUAAAUAUGUAGAGGAGUAAGAGCUCCAUUUAAAAACGCUGAAAGUGAGGACUCUGCUCUCAGGAACGACAGCCAUCUUGUUGCAGAAAAUAACAAGCGGUUAGCGGGAGAGGCUAGCAAGAAGCGAGCGGUGGCAGCCCUUAAAGAGACAGUACACCCGGUUUUGUUUUGUUUAAACAACGAAGAAUGAAAUAUGCAAUAUUGACAGUUACCAGGCCACAUUUUCUAUAUGCAUCUGAAUAUAACAUCAGUGUUAUAUAACAACUGUAGUUUAAUAUGCAGAUCACCCAUAUAAUAAUAAUAAUAAUAAUAAGAAGAAGAAGAAGAAGAAGAAGAAGAAGAAGAAG